CGGGUGAGUAAUGCCUAGGAAUCUGCCUGGUAGUGGGGGACAACGUUUCGAAAGGAACGCUAAUACCGCAUACGUCCUACGGGAGAAAGCAGGGGACCUUCGGGCCUUGCGCUAUCAGAUGAGCCUAGGUCGGAUUAGCUAGUUGGUGAGGUAAUGGCUCACCAAGGCUACUAUCCGUAACUGGUCUGAGAGGAUGAUCAGUCACACUGGAACUGAGACACGGUCCAGACUCCUACGGGAGGCAGCAGUG
RNAcentral lists this ribosomal RNA (250 nucleotides) under uncultured Pseudomonas sp. RNAcentral describes it as "partial 16S ribosomal RNA". It matches the Rfam family "Bacterial small subunit ribosomal RNA", at positions 103 to 356 of the family's 1533-position model. The record is from RNAcentral. Lineage: Bacteria; Pseudomonadati; Pseudomonadota; Gammaproteobacteria; Pseudomonadales; Pseudomonadaceae.